GACGAACGCUGGCGGCGUGCCUAAUACAUGCCAGUCGAACGCACAGUUUAUACCGUAGCUUGCUACACCAUAGACUGUGAGUUGCGAACGGGUGAGUAACGCGUAGGUAACCUGCCUGGUAGCGGGGGAUAACUAUUGGAAACGAUAGCUAAUACCGCAUAAUAUUAAUUAUUGCAUGAUAAUUAAUUGAAAGGUGCAAUUGCACCACUACCAGAUGGACCUGCGUUGUAUUAGCUAGUAGGUGAGGUAACGGCUCACCUAGGCGACGAUACAUAGCCGACCGGGGAGGGUGAUCGGCCACACUGGGACUGAGACACGGCCCAGACUCCUACGGGAGGCAGCAGUAAGGAAUCUUCGGCAAUGGACGAAAGUCUGACCGAGCAACGCCGCGUGAGUGAAGAAGGUUUUCGGAUCGUAAAGCUCUGUUGUAAGAGAAGAACGGGGGUGAGAGUGGAAAGUUCACACUGUGACGGUAUCUUACCAGAAAGGGACGGCUAACUACGUG
Molecule: ribosomal RNA, 505 nt
Filed under: uncultured bacterium
Lineage: Bacteria
Description: partial 16S ribosomal RNA
Rfam family: Bacterial small subunit ribosomal RNA
Source: RNAcentral